UGGGGUUUCACCAUGUUAGCCAGGCUGUUCUCGAACUCCUGACCUCAGGUGAUCCCCCUGCCUUGGCCUUCUAAAGUGCUGGGAUUACAGGUGUAAGCCACUACGCCCGGCCUAUAGUUAAAUGUUAUACUUAAGUGCAUAGAGAACACACUCCCAUGUCUCCAUCCACCCACGCCUUCUCGGUUCUACAGUGACACCAUUAAAUUCUUUUUCUUCAAGGAAGAUGCAAGAGGAAGAGGGUCCUAGAGGUCAGAUCCUACUCUGCUCCCUGUUCCCUGCCUGUUCCCUUCCGUCUCCUGCCUGGCCAGUCAGCUCCUCCCUGGACAGGAUCCCUGUGGUACUCUAGGGACCCCAGCCAACCCCACAGCCCUGGGACAAGUUGGAGAGGUCCCCAUCUCUCUGCUAGCAGCAGACACACCCAGGCCUCAGGCAUGGCACCUGCCCCUCACCACCUCGGCAUGAGAGAAAAGAAAAGAAUACUAAAAAUAAGUUAGCUCCAAAUUUGAGCAAUAAAAAUAAAACAAGAAUCUUUGGAACCAUUGGCCCAUUUGACUGUUUGUGUUUUGUGUGGCAUUUGAAAGGCUUACACGGCUCAAGACUAGUUCCAAAAGAGAUUUCAGGCUGGCACAGCCUCUGCAUAGCCUCAUUUAGAGAUACUGCCCGAACUGCACACCAGUGGGGUUCACUGCCCGCUGCCUCCUCUGGCCCUUCCCAGUAUCAUCAGCCCUGUAAGAUCAGAACUCGCAUCUCCUUCAGGUCCAACACCAAGUACUUGGUUACAAAAGCUGGUACCGACUAAACGCUGCUUGGGUUGAACUGCUGAACUGCUGCAUCUUCUCUCUUGCAUCCUGUACAGUCAGGAUAGACUAACUUGAAACAAACAGCCCCUGCUUUUCAUUCAUUGAAUGUAAUCAGAGGUUUAUUUCCCCCUUCACUUAAAGGUAGACUGGCAGGUGGGGAUCAGGAUAACACAUGGGAGGCUUGCGGGCCAGGCCCAGAAAUGGUGCGUGUUUCUUGCACCCACAGGCCAUUGGCUGGAACUCCGUCAUGUGGCCACACCUAACCACAGGGGAGGUUGGGAAGUGAAGUACAGCUGUGAGCUCUGGCAGAAAAGGAAGCAGGUUGUGGUGAGCGUUUAGCUGUCUCUACCACGCAUGCCUCCUGCCACCUUCUCUGCGCCAGGUACCUGGGAAGCUCUGCUCAUCCCUGCUUAGGGAAGGACAUGACCUCUGUUUCUUUGACCUUGUACCUCUCUCUCAUCUGUCACUGAGGACAUUCUGUUUUUGGGAUUGGGUCCUGUCUCCCCACUCUAAACUGGAAACCCUUUCAGAACGGAUGCUUUUCCUCACUCAGCACUUCUCUGGUUUCUCUGUAGCAUCUGAAACCUUCAGUGUUGCAUCAAGGUGGCCUCAGCCGCCUGCACCAGAAUUACUCUUUGAGAAUGGAGUUUCAGGGGCCCUACUCCAGGGCUACUGGCUCCUGAAUCUUUGAAGAUGGGACCCUGGAGUCUGCUUUUCUAAUACCCUUCCCAGGUGAUUCUCAUAUAUACUGCAAUCUGGGGACCACCUGUUUAGGAAAUAUUUGAUAAUUGACUGCUUACCCCAAUUGGAAUGCAAGAUGAGAAUGUGUCACAGAUUCCUGAGAGGUUCCUAGGCUGGAAACUGAAACCUAGAGAGGGAAGAGGUUUCAUCCCCAGUCACACAGCUCAGGAGCGACAGAUCCGAGGAGUCAGGCCCCCUGGGUCCUGCUUAGAGCUUUCUCUGCUAGUCUCAUCACAACAUGCUGAACUCUUAUUUCAAGGCUGUUUGGGUGACAGGCCGUUGAGAUCUUGAUGGCACAUGAUGUAGGGGAAGACAGCACUAACUAUAAACGAAGUUCUGCCUUCUCAUCCAGCUCAAGCCACUAAGAGGCUGUGGCCAAGUCACUUCAACCAUCACACUCAGGUACUUCAUCCCGUCCUUCUCAGCAAGCACCCUUGUCGUGUGAGCCUGGCCUUAUCUUCCCCCCUAACUGAGAGUCCCUUGCCUCUUUGCAUGGGAACAGACCCUUUUUACUAGUUUCUCACGGACCUGAUAGGGAUUCUAGAUAUUGGCUCCCAAGUUCUCUAAACCGUAAGGACUUGAGGGGUCAGAAAGACGACUUCCUCCAGGAACACCAGGAACUCACCCAAGACAUCCUUGAUCACACGCCGCUUAGUUUUUCUCAUUCAGUCAGUUUCCUGAUGCUGAAAUUCAGGCCAUUUUUUCCUGUUCUAGUCUGGGGAAAUCUGCGUUACUGUACUUGUUACCAUAAUCAUCUCAUCAGCAUCCAAUUCGCAAACCCCUCAUUAUCUUCCUCAUCUCCAGGCUUUCCCCGACUUGCUGAGUGGUGGUCACUGUUCCCCCCGCUUUGCUGUGGAUGACAUGCAGGGCACUCUGCAGGGCACUUGCUUUGCAGUGGGGAGGAUGAGGCAGGUCUUCUCGCCCCAGAACUGAAUCUCCACUGUCCCCUCUGUCAGUCAGAGCACAGUGAAGAAACACUUGGCACCUAGAAUGCUGACACUGUCACUUGGCUGGGAAGGUGUGGGUUGAGGAAGAGAAUGUAGGAGCUGGUGGAGCUGGGAUGUUAGAGGCCUUUCCAGUUAUAGCUUGGAUGCCCCCUUCUCUCUGCUCCCCAAACACCUGGCCUCUCUUUCUCUCCUCUCUCCUUUCAAUGGGCUGUAAUUUUCUGUACCAGGGACCAUAGCUGUUCAUCACUGUGUCCCCUGGCACGUGUUAGGUGCUUAGUGUGGGUUUGACAGAGGAGGAGUGGAUUUGGAGCUUCUUUCCCAGGGGACAUAUGAGCAAGCACUUUAGGACAGGGCUUAUGAAAGUUGAUCUCAGGACUAUUUUAAAGGGAAGCUUGCUAAGAUUCUGGAUGUGGAAUAAAUGGAUUUUUCCACGUACCAAGAAAUGAAAAAUCCCUCUGAGUGAGCAGAAAAUGCAAGGAGAACUUUUCAAACCUAGAACAGCCUCCUCCACCCCAGCUGUGAUUGUUCAGCUGUUUGCCCUGGAGGAUGGGGUUAGGCAGGGCUGGGUCACUAAGCAACCAAGCCCUGGCACCUGCUGGCAGGAGUCAGUCUGGGUGUUCCUCAAGUGGGGCCUCCGAGAGGGGUGGGCAGAGGGGGCCAUGGGAGGAGGCAGGGGAGCCUGCUCUGACAAAUUCCCUCUGUCUGCCUUUCAGCCUGGAGGAAUGGCAGGUGGGGAAGGAAGAAACCAAUACAUCUUUGGUUUAUUUUACUCUCCCAACUUAAUAUUGAGUGGGCGAAAGGUCCUGGUUUGGCAGUGCCAUUGGUCUGGGCACCCACAGUCAGUGGAUGGAGCAGGCAGGGGCAGACUGUGCUGGAGCCCCGGGCCUCAAGGGAGCCUGUCCCUGGGCCUGGGAACCCAUGCCCAGCCUUCGCUCUGUGUGACCUUGGGGAACCACACUCUAGGCCUCACCCUUCACCUCCGUAAAACCGGAAGACCUGCCCUGCCAGUGGAGAGUAAGUGAUAAACAUCCAAUUGUGAGAACCCAUGUGAACUCUGGGGCUGGGGAUAAUAAAGGCCAUUUUGAGAAACACAGGUGCUGGAGGUAGGGCUCAUGACUGGGGUGCAUGCAGGUAUAAGGCUGUGUUCACAGACAAGGGCAGGCGCAGGGCCUGCUGGGAAAUGGCUGGAAUGUGUGAUAGUAAUGGCCGGUGCUCGGGUCUUGAUAUGCGUCAGGUACUGUCCUAGGUGCUUGAUGGGUAAAUACUCAAUUUAAUCCUCACAACUACAAUACGAGGUAGGUACAUUAUUGUUGCCACUUAAGAGGAAACUGAAGGGGUCAAAUAAUGUGCCCAGGGUCACAUAGUAGGUCACAUAGGAGUUGGACCCAAGUAGUCUAAUGCCAGGGCUCCUAACCCCUAAGCUGUAGCUCUUUCCAGAAUUCUCCAAGUAGCCGAAGCCCAGCAGUGGGGCCAAAAGAUGCCCACAAAUGCAGCCUCAUGACAGCACUACCCUCUUGGAGUCACUGAAGAUAUUGCACCCUUUGCCAGGCCGUUUAGGGGACAGAGGAGAUCAAACCUCCCUGCCCCUGAGCCUUUAUGGCACAGUGGGAGGAUAUACACGUUCAAAGACGCAGAGCUAAUUAAUAACUAAGUGGACACGUUUUAGUAUCACAUAUUAAUCCCUGAGCUCCUGGGUGCCAAGACUGCCAACGUGGGGUGGGGUUAACAGGGCAGGUAGCAUGUGAGGAGAGGACUAAUGUAGGCUGAUGAAGAGGCACCCCAGCCCCCAAAGCAGCAGGUGGAGGAAAGCCAGGAAGGGCUGCACUUCUCCAGUGGGCAGCACAGGCUGGUGUCCGGGCUGCUGGUGCAAGUCUGAAGCUGCCCCUCCCCUCCUAGCAAGCAUGGGCAGUGUGGGUGUGUGCAGUGCUGGGUACUGACUCACCUCCAGAGACCACUCGGCUCCCACACACAGCCUCUGAAUGAUCUAAAUCAUUUAUGGGGCUGAAUGCCCUCUCCUUCAGGGAGCUCCAGCUGGAGCUAGAGCCAGGACAUGGGGGCGGAGAGAGCUCCCGCAGUCACCUGGAGCCCCGUGCAGCCUGCAGGCAGAACCUAUGAGUUAGACUCCUAAAGCCACUCCUCUGGAGGCCUAGAGAUUCUGCUGAGUUUCACUCUUUGGCUCUAAGAACAUCUGGAACUCUAUACAAUGCUGAGGAACUCUGUUUUCAAAGCAUUCCUGUGCAGGGAAGUCCACUAUGUGAGGGCAAGGGUGUGAUUUGGAGGUGGGGAUGGACAGCUCCGGUGGUUCGCCAAUGCAUGUCUCCUAGCUCUGGGGCACCAAGAGUGUGCCAUGACUCUAUGAGCACAUCCAUCUCUCUAGAUGCAUGGGGCUGGAAAGCCAGAUGUCAACCUGACCUGACCUUGCUGUGACAGGGUACUGUGGUGGGAGAACAUCUGGAGAAGGCUGGGAAACAGAGCUUCCCCUUGGCCCUCUGAAGGUUUGCUGCAAAUCACUGGCAUGAGGCAAACUGAUGAGUGGGCAAAAAGGCACACAAAUUUAUUUAACAUGUAUUUGCGGGAAUGAAGACCCAACCCCCAUGGAGUACAGAAGCUCAUACACAUCCUGAGGUUACAGAAAGAAUGUGGGCUGAGAGCACGGCCCCAAAUAGGUUAUGGUUGAUAAAUUAGGUUUUAGUGGCAACACAGGUUUUCGGAGGGGAAGAAGGAGAGGCUUGGUUAGCCAAGGUGGUCUUGUUACGUAGAUGAAACUUCACAGGUAACAACCCUCUGAGAGACAACAUAGUAAAUGUUUCUUUCAGAUCUUUAAAGAUGUCAGACUCCAUUAAUCUCUCCUAGAUCUGGACAAGGGAAGAAGGCCUGGCUGCAUUAAAGGAGAUUCUCAACAGAUGCAAAUUUCCCCCACAAAGGACAGCUUUGUAGGGCCACCUCAGUCUGCUGGCCCUGUGGCAGCCAUCUCAAAUUCUGUCAAAGUAAUAUAUUUUGGGGUCACCUGUUUUUAUUUCUUUCACUCCUCCUGACUCAAUUUGCUCUAGAAUCUGGGUAGGUGGACCAGUUCAUCUUGAGGCCUCUUGCCGAUCUCUGAGCACAGGCUUCUGUGCCCCUAACCUUUCUGGGCAGUCCCCUGGGAGGUUCUGAGCAGGCAUGCCCGCUACGCCUGCAGCAGCUCCUCUGAGCUGGGCUGGGCUGUCCCGGUCAUUUUUCAUGUUCAUUUUACACUCCAGGAGAGUGGCCUAGUCCUAGGAAUAGAGCCUGGUUUUGGAGGGCUUGGGAUGACAGAGGCCCAUUCACUUAGAUGUGGGAUUGACUCCUUGCUUGGAAUAUAGAAAGUAAGGGAAGCUCCCAACUUUAUGGGAACCAGAUAAAACCAGCCAGUGACAUGGCCUCCAGGUUUCCCCUGCCCUUUUUAUUUUUUAUUGUGGUAAAACACACAUAACAUAAAAUUUACCAUUCUUAUUUUUUUCCCCCAA
Molecule: long non-coding RNA, 5973 nt
Organism: Sapajus apella (tufted capuchin)
Lineage: Eukaryota; Metazoa; Chordata; Mammalia; Primates; Cebidae
Exons: 2
Source: RefSeq, a predicted model, not a curated record